This 229-nucleotide ribosomal RNA is filed under the name uncultured bacterium. RNAcentral's name for it is "partial 16S ribosomal RNA". It matches the Rfam family "Bacterial small subunit ribosomal RNA", at positions 568 to 796 of the family's 1533-position model. The record is from RNAcentral.
UACGUAGGCGGCCUAUUAAGUCAGAUGUGAAAGCCCCGGGCUUAACCUGGGAACUGCAUUUGAAACUGGUAGGCUAGAGUCUGAUAGAGGGAAGUGGAAUUCCGGGUGUAGCGGUGAAAUGCGUAGAUAUCCGGAGGAACAUCAGUGGCGAAGGCGGCUUCCUGGAUCAAGACUGACGCUGAGGUACGAAAGCGUGGGGAGCAAACAGGAUUAGAUACCCUGGUAGUCC